This 218-nucleotide long non-coding RNA is filed under the name Phoenix dactylifera (date palm). RNAcentral's name for it is "long non-coding RNA (PDAC_LNC008144)". The record is from RNAcentral. Lineage: Eukaryota; Viridiplantae; Streptophyta; Magnoliopsida; Arecales; Arecaceae.
UUCCCAUGGGUCGACCCAACCAUUCUUUGGGUCGACUCAAAGUUCACUUGGGUCGACUCAACUUCUUCUUGGGUCGACCCUCUCAGUAAUUCCAGAGAACCAUUUUCUGUCUGCCUUUCUGUCUUGCCUUUGGGUCGACCCUCUCAGGGUUUGGGUCGACUCAAGCUUGGGUCGACUCAACCACUGUUUGGGUCGACCCUCUCAGUAAAUCCAGAGAA